CAGCAGUGAGGAAGGUGGAUAUGUUAAUAGCAUAUUCUAGUUGACGUUAGCUGCAGAAGAAGCACCGGCUAACUCCGUGCCAGCAGCCGCGGUAAUACGGAGGGUGCGAGCGUUAAUCGGAAUUACUGGGCGUAAAGCGCAUGCAGGUGGUUUGUUAAGUCAGAUGUGAAAGCCCGGGGCUCAACCUCGGAAUUGCAUUUGAAACUGGCAAACUAGAGUACUGUAGAGGGGGUAGAAUUUCAGGUGUAGCGGUGAAAUGCGUAGAGAUCUGAAGGAAUACCGGUGGCGAAGGCGGCCCCCUGGACAGAUACUGACACUCAGAUGCGAAAGCGUGGGGAGCAAACAGGAUUAGAUACCCUGGUAG
RNAcentral lists this ribosomal RNA (364 nucleotides) under uncultured bacterium. Its description in RNAcentral is "bacterial SSU rRNA". It matches the Rfam family "Bacterial small subunit ribosomal RNA", at positions 434 to 793 of the family's 1533-position model. The record is from RNAcentral.